ACCUACGGGGGGCAGCAGUGAGGGAUAUUGGUCAAUGGGGGAAACCCUGAACCAGCAACGCCGCAUGAGGGAAGACGGUUUUCGGAUUGUAAACCUCUGUCCUCUGUGAAGAUAAUGACGGUAGCAGAGGAGGAAGCUCCGGCUAACUACGUGCCAGCAGCCGCGGUAAUACGUAGGGAGCGAGCGUUAUCCGGAUUUAUUGGGUUUAAAGGGUGCGCAGGCGGAAGAUCAAGUCAGCGGUAAAAUUGAGAGGCUCAACCUCUUCGAGCCGUUGAAACUGGUUUUCU
RNAcentral lists this ribosomal RNA (287 nucleotides) under uncultured bacterium. RNAcentral describes it as "partial 16S ribosomal RNA". It matches the Rfam family "Bacterial small subunit ribosomal RNA", at positions 337 to 642 of the family's 1533-position model. The record is from RNAcentral.